UACGAAGGGGGCUAGCGUUGCUCGGAAUCACUGGGCGUAAAUCGCACGUAGGCGGAUUGCUAAGUCAGGGGUGAAAUCCUGGAGCUCAACUCCAGAACUGCCUUUGAUACUGGCAACCUUGAGUCCGGGAGAGGUGAGUGGAACUGCGAGUGUAGAGGUGAAAUUCGUAGAUAUUCGCAAGAACACCAGUGGCGAAGGCGGCUCACUGGCCCGGUACUGACGCUGAGGUGCGAAAGCCAGGGGAGCAAACGGG
Molecule: ribosomal RNA, 253 nt
Filed under: uncultured bacterium
Lineage: Bacteria
Description: partial 16S ribosomal RNA
Rfam family: Bacterial small subunit ribosomal RNA
Source: RNAcentral